GACGAACGCUGGCGGCGUGCCUAAUACAUGCAAGUAGAACGCUGAAGAGAGGAGCUUGCUCUUCUUGGAUGAGUUGCGAACGGGUGAGUAACGCGUAGGUAACCUGCCUGGUAGCGGGGGAUAACUAUUGGAAACGAUAGCUAAUACCGCAUAAAAUGGAUUAUCGCAUGAUAAUGCAUUGAAAGGUGCAAAUGCAUCCCUACCAGAUGGACCUGCGUUGUAUUAGCUAGUUGGUGGGGUAACGGCUCACCAAGGCGACGAUACAUAGCCGACCUGAGAGGGUGAUCGGCCACACUGGGACUGAGACACGGCCCAGACUCCUACGGGAGGCAGCAGUAGGGAAUCUUCGGCAAUGGACGGAAGUCUGACCGAGCAACGCCGCGUGAGUGAAGAAGGUUUUCGGAUCGUAAAGCUCUGUUGUAAGAGAAGAACGAGUGUGAGAGUGGAAAGUUCACACUAUGACG
RNAcentral lists this ribosomal RNA (464 nucleotides) under Streptococcus sp. oral taxon 071. RNAcentral describes it as "bacterial SSU rRNA". It matches the Rfam family "Bacterial small subunit ribosomal RNA", at positions 28 to 474 of the family's 1533-position model. The record is from RNAcentral. Lineage: Bacteria; Bacillati; Bacillota; Bacilli; Lactobacillales; Streptococcaceae.